UUCAUCAUAAACAUUUAUCUCUCCCUCUCCUAGCUACCUUGCAGGAAAUCGCUCUAUCAUGUCGGAGGCGGCAGAGCAACCCAACUCAGCCAACAACCACCAUUAAUGGAACCUUCUCGCCCUCCUCUUUCAAUUUCUUACAUCCAUUUCUUCUAAAAAUCACUAAACCAUCAAAAUCGAACCACAAACCCUAAGUCUUAAAAUUGAAAUUAAACGAUCUAUGAUUGAAGGUUGGAGAGUCAUAACCGAAUUAGGCAAUUAGGGUAAAGGGAGUUAAGAGUUUGGUCAGUUGUUAGUUUCGAUGGAAAUUAGUUAAGUUAGAAUGCAAUUUGGUUAGGGUCUUAACGGUGUUAAUUGGCAAUUAGUUUAGUUGGGUUGUUAGUAUUUGGAACUGUUAGUAGAAUGUUAGAAUGUGUUAGUGAGUUAGAGAUGAUUAACUGUUAAAAAUAGUUAUGUUAGAAGAGUUAACUUUGUUAGUUAAUAGUUAGCAUCUUGAAAUUUUUUAGUUAGUAGGUUUGAAAUUAGUUUAGAAAGUUGUUAGUGUAUUUUGAAAUAGUUAGAAGAAGUUAGUUAAUUAACAGUUAGUUUUUAAUCUGAACUGUUAGAUGGUGUGUUAGGACUAUUAGUGUGGUGAUUCCAAUUAGUUAGGAUUAGUUGAGUCAGUUAGUAUUGAUGUUAGUUUGAAUGCUUAAAAGUAUGAAUUUUGACAGUUAGGUUGGCUUGAUGUUAUGAAGUUGGACUUUAGCAAAUAUGUUAGUUAAUUGAUGCUUGGUUGAACUGUUAUGAAAUGUAGAAUUAAAAAUUGGUUUGUUGUGUUAGACUAAAUGAACUUGUUAUAUGUGUUAGCUAAUGCAAUUAACAAUUAGUGAAUCAGUUUAGAAAAAUGGAAAAUUAGUUAGCUAAUUCGUUAACCAUGACAGUUAGUAUGGAAAUGUUAGUGAAUGUUAGAAUUAGAAGUGAAUUGAGUUAGAAAGAAGUUAGCUAGAAGACUAUUGAUUAUGUCAGUUUAGGUUAGUAUGGAAGUUAGAAGUUGAAGUUUUGACAUUGGUGUGUUAGGUUGAAUGUAGGCUUGACUUGUAUUGUAUGUAUAUGGUAGGUAUGUUGAAUUUUGGAUGUGUGUGUGUGUGUGAAUUGUGAUCAUGUUUUGAACUUGGAUUAAACAUGCCGAACAUUUUGACAAUGGGUCUAUUUUAGUUUGGACUUGAGGCCUGCAUAAUAUCUUGAUGUGCAUGUUUUUAGGAUGGACCUUUAGUGUAAGCAUGAUGAGUUUUUGUGUCCCAUGUGUUUUUGUUUAUGUCAUGACUUGGUUUGUAUUGUUGUAGGACUGAUAUUCAUUUGGUAGGAUGGGACUUGGCUUGAUAUGGCAUAAAGGAGACUUAUCAUCAAGGAUAUGAAGAAGUUUUGGAUAUCUUGAAGGCAUAAAUGGAUGAUCAAUGAGGAUGAAGCCCAAAGUAGGCUAAGGUUAGUUUGACUUUGGUCAACUGUUUAACCAAAAGUCAACUUUAGGUCAAAUAUGUGAUUUCUUGUAUAAUGUUUGAAAAUUUGGGAUUUUUGCAAUGUAUUUAAUCUUGAAAUGAGAUUCUUUGAACCUUGAAUUGCCACUUGUAACUUGAUUCUCAAAAAUAAGUUAUUCCCUCCAAAUUAAAAUAUUUGAAUAUUUGAAAACCUUUUAUUUUUGAACUGUCAUGUUUUGUAUUCAACAAACACAAACUAAUCAACAAACCAUGCAAAAAUUGUCAUAGAAAAAUUGGACAACAAGAAGUCAACCUCCAAUGGUUAACUUUAUUGACCAAAGUCAAACUUGCCCAUGACUUCUAAAUUUACAUGUGCAUGAUGUAAUCAACAAGUCUUGAGAAAUAUUAGGGUUUUAAAAGGCUUGAUCCAAGAGAAAUAAACAUCCCAAAGUCAAGUAUAACACCAUGAUCCCCAGGCUUGAUUCACAAGUGCACCAUAAAAACCCUAGCUCAUGAAUUAACCAUAAUUCAAUGAUUUGUAUCAUAAAUAACAAGAACCCUCUGAAUCAAUGAUGCUACCUAAAAAUUAUAAAUGCAAAUGAAAAUGAUCUUAUGAUAGAUAACUAGGACAUGAGUAUGCAAAUGAAUCAUGGACCAUGAGUCAGGUAAAAAUGAAAAAAAUGUAUGACAAAUUUUGGGGUAUGACAAAAUGAGGUAACAUUUUUUUAGAGAUCAAUUUAACAAAGGAAAGCUUGAACUUGAGCAUU
This 2221-nucleotide long non-coding RNA is filed under the name Lathyrus oleraceus (garden pea). RNAcentral's name for it is "Pisum sativum (pea) long non-coding RNA (PSAT_LNC003944)". The record is from RNAcentral. Lineage: Eukaryota; Viridiplantae; Streptophyta; Magnoliopsida; Fabales; Fabaceae.